This 425-nucleotide ribosomal RNA is filed under the name uncultured bacterium. RNAcentral describes it as "bacterial SSU rRNA". It matches the Rfam family "Bacterial small subunit ribosomal RNA", at positions 354 to 796 of the family's 1533-position model. The record is from RNAcentral.
GCAAGGAAUAUUGGGCAAUGGCCGCAAGGCUGACCCAGCGACGCCGCGUGGGGGACGACGGCCUUCGGGUUGUAAACCCCUUUUCUGUGGGAAGAAGAUGACGGUACCGCAGGAAGAAGCCCCGGCUAACUACGUGCCAGCAGCCGCGGUAAUACGUAGGGGGCGAGCGUUGUCCGGAAUUACUGGGCGUAAAGCGCGCGUAGGUGGCGGUCUAAGAUUGAUGUGAAAUCCCCGGGCUCACCUCGGGGGGGACGUUGAUGACUGGGGCGCUAGGGUUCCGCAGAGGCGGGUGGAAUUCCCGGUGGAGCGGUGAAAUGCGUAGAGAUCGGGAGGAACACCAGUGGCGAAGGCGGCCCGCUGGGCGGGAACCGACGCUGAGGCGCGAAAGCGUGGGGAGCGAACCGGAUUAGAUACCCCUGUAGUCC